Molecule: long non-coding RNA, 624 nt
Organism: Erinaceus europaeus (western European hedgehog)
Lineage: Eukaryota; Metazoa; Chordata; Mammalia; Eulipotyphla; Erinaceidae
Exons: 3
Source: RefSeq, a predicted model, not a curated record
GCGGGCCGCUGACCUCAGCGGGGAGGAAGGCCUUUGAGGCUUGGAGGCCCGGCUGAUGGAGAGACUGAAGAAUUCGCAGCUGGCUCUGUGUGUGUGUUCUAUUUCCACGGUACCGGAAGAGGGAGCAACAGCCCAGCCGUUGCCAUGGUCACCAGCAGCCAGAGUGAUGUGAGCUGGGGCACAGGGGCUCCUACCUCCAGGAGCCUCCUUAACCUGCCCUUCCCUCCCUGCCUGUUGAAAUGUGGGUGUUGCUAUCAGAUGCAGUCCCAGGAACAGGUGUGGAUGUCCCCCACAUCAUCCUCGAUGCACCACCCCCCAGGCUGAGUGUAUAGGAAUCCCAGGCUGAGAUCCAAGAAUAUUAACAGAGGGCCCAGCCUGGUGGGGCAAAAUAGAAAGAAAGAAGAAAGGGCCACCAGGAACAGAGGAGUCAUAGUAUAGGCAUCAAAUCCCAGCAAUAACCCUGGUGGCAACCAGUCAACACCCAUGUUCAGCAGGGAAGCAAUGACAGAAGCCAGACCUUCCACCUUCAGCACCCCUCAAUGACCUUGGGUCCAUACUCCCAGAGGGAUAAAGAAUAGGAAAGCUAUCAGGGGAGGGGAUGGAGUAUGGAGAUCUGGUGGUGGG